UAGGUAAAAAAUUAAAGUUUCGGCGGUUAAAGAUGGGCAUGCGUGACAUUAGUUAGUUGGUGAGGUAACGGCUCACCAAGACAGCGAUGUCUAGGGGUUCUGAGAGGAUUAUCCCCCACACUGGUACUGAGACACGGACCAGACUCCUACGGGAGGCAGCAGUGAGGAAUAUUGGUCAAUGGUCGAAAGACUGAACCAGCCAUGCCGCGUGCAGGAUGAAGGCGCUAUGCGUUGUAAACUGCUUUUCUACAGGAAGAAACCUAUCCUCGUGAGGGUAGCUGCCGGUACUGUAGGAAUAAGCACCGGCUAACUCCGUG
This 317-nucleotide ribosomal RNA is filed under the name uncultured bacterium. RNAcentral's name for it is "bacterial SSU rRNA". It matches the Rfam family "Bacterial small subunit ribosomal RNA", at positions 190 to 507 of the family's 1533-position model. The record is from RNAcentral.